AAGAAAAAACUAUUAUCCGUGGGAGGGAAGGAAAUCCUCCUGAACUCUAUUAAAACAAUCCCCACCUAUAUGAUGUCCAUCUUUAAAAUUCCUAAAAAAAUUAAGGGAAUCACUGAUACAAUGUCAUAUUUUUGGUGGGGUGAUGAGGACAAUCAGAAGAGGAUGCAUUGUAUGGCUUGGUGGAAAAUGUGUGUAACGAAAAAUCAAGUGGGGAUGGGCUUCCUAGAUGUUCAUUGAUUCAACCUGGCAAUGUUGAGAAAACAAGCUUGGCGUCUCCUUGAGAAUCCAGAGUCCUGGGUUAAUUGUGUAAAUCAUGGUUAUAUAUGGCGUGUUAGAAAUGGUCAUAAUAUUGAUAUUUGGGAAGAUGCUUGGACCCCGAAUUGUGUAAAUAGAAAACUAAUCACCCCUAGAGGGAUUAAUUUGAUCUAA
RNAcentral lists this ribosomal RNA (429 nucleotides) under Triticum aestivum (bread wheat). RNAcentral's name for it is "partial small subunit ribosomal RNA". The record is from RNAcentral. Lineage: Eukaryota; Viridiplantae; Streptophyta; Magnoliopsida; Poales; Poaceae.